UAGGGAAUCUUCCGCAAUGGACGCAAGUCUGACGGAGCAACGCCGCGUGAGUGAAGAAGGAUUUCGGUUCGUAAAACUCUGUUGUUAGAGAAGAACAGCGCAUAGAGUAACUGUUAUGCGUGUGACGGUAUCUAACCAGAAAGCCACAGCUAACUACGUGCCAGCAGCCGCGGUAAUACGUAGGUGGCAAGCGUUGUCCGGAUUUAUUGGGCGUAAAGCGAGCGCAGGCGGUCAAUUAAGUCUGAUGUGAAAGCCCCCGGCUCAACCGGGGAGGGUCAUUGGAAACUGGUUGACUUGAGUGCAGAGGAGGAGAGUGGAAUUCCAUGUGUAGCGGUGAAAUGCGUAGAUAUAUGGAGGAACACCAGUGGCGAAGGCGACUCUCUGGUCUGUAACUGACGCUGAGGCUCGAAAGCGUGGGUAGCAAACAGG
This 429-nucleotide ribosomal RNA is filed under the name Bacteroidota bacterium. RNAcentral describes it as "Bacteroidetes bacterium partial 16S ribosomal RNA". It matches the Rfam family "Bacterial small subunit ribosomal RNA", at positions 355 to 776 of the family's 1533-position model. The record is from RNAcentral. Lineage: Bacteria; Pseudomonadati; Bacteroidota.